CCGGGACUGAGUGCAGCUGGGUCCGGAGGGGUUGAUGAUGGCUCGAUGCUGUCAGGAGUACUUGAACCGAGCUGCAAGGAGGGAAGCAACAAAAGGCUGAAAGGAAACACAAUAUAAAUUCAAAGUUGGUAAACAUCUGGAGGGAUCAAACAAAGGCAUAGGAAGGAAAACUUAGCUUUGUCGAGAUGGGUAUAGGUGCAGCUCCAGAGAGAAGACAGCGGCCCCCCCUUGUCCGUUCUGUGCGUUCUCUUCUGUUUUUCCCCGAGAGAGAGGUAGUGAGAGUGAGAGAAAAUUCGUGGGCUUUUCAGAGAGUGUCAAGAGCUGAGGGAGUGAGUGAGGAAUGUCAGCUGGGGGAAAGGGAACCCGACAGCUGCAGGAGGAACCGGAGUUGAGAGGAAAUUGAGAAGAAGAAGAAUGUCCGGGAGCUAUGGGUUCGGUCUGUGGGAGUUGCUGAGGGGAAACCGGAGCUGAGGGAGAGGUCGUGAGCUGGCGGAGAGUCGAAGGAGCCAGUGAGCUGAGGGGAAAGUAGCUGAGAGUUUUCGAGGAUUGAGCUGAAGGUUUCAUUGCCGAGGAGAAGCAUGGAAAAGGAAGGAAUGGGAAGGAGAGGGAAGGGUGUCUUGUACUCAACCCUGUGACCAGAGUUGGCGUGAAGCAGAACGAACAGAGCUGUGAUCAGUGGUUCCUGGGGAUAACUUGAACAUCCGAAAUUUUUCUGAACUUCUCAUGAGCCUUUUGGUCUCUCUGAUAUUUUUCCUAGAUUCCUACACGAGUUAGGCACAUCCUCGUAAAAUUUGAAGCUCGUUUGACCUCGGGAAGUCCUCAAAGCAAUUUUUCUUCAA
Non-coding RNA from Punica granatum (pomegranate), 839 nucleotides. NCBI's taxonomy places the organism in Eukaryota, Viridiplantae, Streptophyta, Magnoliopsida, Myrtales, Lythraceae. The record is from RefSeq and is a predicted model, not a curated record.